Oncorhynchus keta (chum salmon) is the source of this 3000-nucleotide RNA transcript. It is a transcript of the gene named claudin-8-like, with no coding region annotated. Lineage: Eukaryota; Metazoa; Chordata; Actinopteri; Salmoniformes; Salmonidae. The transcript is spliced from 3 exons. The record is from RefSeq and is a predicted model, not a curated record.
GUAACACAGGUAUCUACUGUGUUAAGCUCCAAUGGUAACACAGCUAUCUACUGUAUUAAGCUCCAAUGGUAUAAUGUGUAAUUGAGUGGAUGUGUUGGCUAUGAAAACAUCAACAAGUGGGUGAACCAAUGAACUACUGUACUAGACAAUGCCCGCACACAGACAGUCCUCACAGGUCCUCCUUUGUACCCUGAUCCUAUAAGCCAACCAGGUGAGAGCAGAGUUUCUCUCCCAUAACAGACAGUAGUUACCCAGCACCCAGAGCUAUUGUCUGUCUCAUACUUCACCAUCAAAGCUGAGAAAAGGAAAGGUCACCUCUCUGCCUCGGAUACUACUCCAACCGUACAGGAUUUUCAUUUGUUUUGGGACAUUGUAUGGGGACAUGGACUCAUCUCCAACUUAGACCAUUUCUGAGGUCUGAACACAUCAGAGAAAAGUACAUUUGGGAGUCAACUGUCACUAAGGUUUCUUUGUCAGGAGGACUCUGAGAUUUGGGAGUCAACUAUCACUAAGGUUUUUUUGUCAGGAGGACUCUGAGAUUUGGGAGUCAACUAUCACUAAGGUUUCUUUGUCAGGAGGACUCUGAGAUUUGGUAGUCAACUGUCACUAAGGUUUCUUUGUCAGGAGGACUCUGAGAUUUGGGAAUCAACUAUCACUAAGGUUUCUUUGUCAGGAGGACUCUGAGAUUUGGGAGUCAACUAUCACUAAGGUUUCUUUGUCAGGAGGACUCUGAGAUUUGGGAGUCAACUAUCACUAAGGUUUAUUUGUCAGGAGGACUCUGAGAUUUGGGAGUCAACUAUCACUAAGGUUUCUUUGUCAGGAGGACUCUGAGAUUUGGGAGUCAACUAUCACUAAGGUUUCUUUGUCAGGAGGACUCUGAGAUUUGGGAGUCAACUAUCACUAAGGUUUCUUUGUCAGGAGGACUCUGAGAUUUGGGAGUCAACUAUCACUAAGGUUUCUUUGUCAGGAGGACAACGGACGACGUGAUGUUCCAGGGCGUGUCUGAGAUCGCGGCGCUGUGCGCGGGACUGGUGGGUCUGAUCGGAGCAGCCGCCGUCACCGGGAUGCCCAUGUGGAAGGUUACGGCCUUCAUCGGAGAGAACAUCAUCGUCAUGGAGACGCGCUGGGAGGGCCUGUGGAUGAACUGCUAUAGACAGGCCAACAUCAGGAUGCAGUGUAAAGUGUACGACUCUCUGCUGUAUCUCCCCGCAGACCUGCAGGCUGCCAGGGGCUUGAUGUGCUGCUCUCUGGCUCUCUCAGGGAUGGGUCUACUGGGGGCUCUAGCAGGGAUGCGUUGUACCUCCUGCAUCCAGGACAACGACCGCAUUAAGAGCCUCAUCCUCAUGGUGGCUGGAGGCAUGCAGUUACUGGCCUCUAUCUGUGUGUUCAUCCCAGUCUCCUGGACGGCUCACGCCAUAAUCCGUGACUUCUAUAACCCUUUGCUGAUCGACGCCCAGCGCAGGGAGUUGGGAGAGGCUCUCUACAUCGGUUGGGUGACCGGAGCCUUCCUCCUGACCUCUGGGCUUCUCUUCCUCUGUCGCCGCGUCCACUCCAACAAAGCCUCGUUCGAUAUCUAUCACCCAGCCAACAGGAUCAACAAACCCACUCUGAUGCACUACCAUCCCAUCUCUAGCAUUCUUAGCGUGAGGGCUCACCGCCAGCCCGGUCUGAGCCACCAACAAAGUCACAGCUUCGAUGCACACCAACACCACCAAGCUCCGAUUCUUCAUAACGUUCCUUAUGGACAACAAGGGUUCGUCAUGAACCCUCCUGCUGCUGUGUAUGACUCUAGCUCGGUGGAGAACGUUGGGCCGUUGGUCUAUCACCAUGGCAACGGACGUCAUGUUGACGGACACCAUCCCUCCACCUCUAACAGCUCCAACUACGUCAGCAGCCUGUCCACUCUGGCUGACUCCCUAUACAUCAGCCAACAGACUCCGUACUCCUAUAACCACCUGACCGCUCCGUAUACCACAUAUACCGGUAGUCAACAGACAAAUCCAUACUCCUACAGUCAUCCAGGAAACCUGUCUGUUUCACACAACUCCAGUUUUCAAGCCGUACCUCAGAAUCCUGUUUUUAUCGGGUAUAAGGGCUCCAGAGUUCAACCAUCGCAGUCUCACCACAGUGGAAGCAGUGUUGGUGUGUACAUCUGAAUAGACUGCAAAGAGACCAGUCAUCGUCUGAUACUCACUGUACCUUAACAAAUGUAUCGCCUGUGUAUGGUUAUUAUAAUCACAUGGUAUCUUUUUUUUAUUUUAUUAAGUUAAAUGUCUGUUUUGGUAUUCUGGUAAAACUGUAAUGUGUUCAGUGUUUGGGACAGUUAUAGCUGUGUAGAGUGUUCAGUGUUUGGGACAGUUAUAGCUGUGUAGAGUGUUCAGUGUUUGGGACAGUUAUAGCUGUGUAGAGUGUUUGGGACAGUUAUAGCUGUGUUCAGUGUUUGGGACAGUUAUAGCUGUGUAGAGUGUUCAGUGUUUGGGACAGUUAUAGCUGUGUAGAGUGUUCAGUGUUUGGGACAGUUAUAGCUGUGUAGAGUGUUCAGUGUUUGGGACAGUUAUAGCUGUUUAUAGUGUUCAGUGUUUGGGACAGUUACAGCUGUGUAGAGUGUUUGGGACAGUUAUAGCUGUGUAGAGUGUUCAGUGUUUGGGACAGUUAUAGCUGUGUAGAGUGUUCAGUGUUUGGGACAGUUAUAGCUGUGUAGAGUGUUCAGUGUUUGGGAUGUAUAAACAUACAUUUAAAAGUAAACCAGUUUUUUCUAACUCAAGGUGUCAUGGCUGACACCGGAUUCUUUCUACAAAUAUCUUUGAAUAUUAAUUUGGGGCAGAUAUUAUUAAUAUUAUUAAUAUUAAUUCGAUAUUUUUGGAAAACACAGUCGCAUAAAAAAAGGCUAAGACCAAAACUUUGCUCUUCCAGAAAAUGUGUUUUUGUGAAAUGUUCUGUAUAAAUUGUUUUAAAAAAUAAAAUAAAAAGCCCUUGUGUAUGGUUUGUUAAACGUUGAAA